Molecule: ribosomal RNA, 253 nt
Filed under: uncultured bacterium
Lineage: Bacteria
Description: partial 16S ribosomal RNA
Rfam family: Bacterial small subunit ribosomal RNA
Source: RNAcentral
UACGUGGGAGGCGAGCGUUGUCCGGAAUUACUGGGCGUAAAGAGUGCGUAGGCGGUUCUUGAAGUCCGCUGUGAAAGCCCCGGGUUUAACCUGGGAAUGGCAGUGGAAACUGGAGGACUUGAAUUGAGCAGAGGGGGGUGGAAUGCCGCGUGUAGCAGUGAAAUGCGUAGAGAUGCGGCGGAACACCGAUGGCGAAGGCAGCCCCCUGGGCUUAAAUUGACGCUGAGGCACGAAAGCGUGGGGAGCAAACAGG